RNAcentral lists this ribosomal RNA (239 nucleotides) under uncultured bacterium. RNAcentral's name for it is "partial 16S ribosomal RNA". It matches the Rfam family "Bacterial small subunit ribosomal RNA", at positions 538 to 776 of the family's 1533-position model. The record is from RNAcentral.
GCGUUAAUCGGAAUUACUGGGCGUAAAGCGUGCGUAGACGGCUAUCUAAGUCGGGUGUGAAAGCCCCGGGCUCAACCUGGGAAUUGCAUUCGAGACUGAAUAGCUAGGGUGCGGUAGAGGGAAGCGGAAUUUCCGGCGUAGCGGUGAAAUGCGUAGAUAUCGGAAGGAACAUCAGUGGCGAAAGCGGCUUCCUGGACCAGCACCGACGUUCAGGCACGAAAGCGUGGGGAGCAAACAGG